This 275-nucleotide long non-coding RNA is filed under the name Mytilus galloprovincialis (Mediterranean mussel). The record is from RNAcentral. Lineage: Eukaryota; Metazoa; Mollusca; Bivalvia; Mytilida; Mytilidae.
GUGAGAAGAUUAAACAAGUGCAGCGUAAGUUGUUUAUCAAUAUUUCGUAAUAUGAACUUGACCGAAAGUCGAAAAAUUUAAAAGUCUUUUUUCUUGUCAUAUGAAAUGAACCUAUGGCUGCCCUGUAGUCUUCUAUACUGUUACCCAUUUGGGUUCAGAAUAGCAAAUAAGUUAAAGCAGAGGGCAGCCACACGAUCCAAGCAUACAUAUAAAUACACAUACAGCAGCAUCAUCAUCAUCAUAGAAACAAAGUGAAAAAAUAUAUACAAAAUAAC